This 460-nucleotide ribosomal RNA is filed under the name uncultured bacterium. RNAcentral's name for it is "partial 16S ribosomal RNA". It matches the Rfam family "Bacterial small subunit ribosomal RNA", at positions 338 to 795 of the family's 1533-position model. The record is from RNAcentral.
CCUACGGGUGGCAGCAGUGAGGAAUAUUGGUCAAUGGACGGGAGUCUGAACCAGCCAAGUAGCGUGAAGGAUGACUGCCCUAUGGGUUGUAAACUUCUUUUAUAUGGGAAUAAAACGUUCCACGUGUGGGAUUUUGUAUGUACCAUAUGAAUAAGGAUCGGCUAACUACGUUCCCGCAGCCGCGGUAAUACGGAGGAUCCGAGCGUUAUCCGGAUUUAUUGGGUUUAAAGGCAUAGUAGGUGGAUUGUUAAGUCAGUUGGGAAAGUUUGCGGCGCAAACGUAAAAUUGCAGUUGAAACUGGCAGUCGUGAGUACAGUAGAGGUGGGCGGAAUUCGUGGUGUAGCGGUGAAAUGCUUAGAUAGCACGAAGAACUCCGAUUGCGAAGGCAGUUCACUGGACUGCAACUGACACUGAGGCUCGAAAGUGUGGGUAUCAAACAGGAUUAGAUACCCUAGUAGUC